UGAAGCGAGAGUUGUUGUCGUAGCUCAGCAGUUAAAAGCGUCGAAGCGCGUACUCUUGGUUCUGGGUCCGAUACCAAAGACGCGACCCCCUUUUUCGGUCUUUGAAGACUUUCCAUCAAGCCAAAAAGUGGUAGGUCUCCUUCAAGGAGCAGGGAAUCCCAUAUUAAGUACAUGGGGAUGCCUAACGUACUUCAACUGCUGGGGUUAGAAACUAUCAUUAAUUUCAGCACAAAUUGCCUG
Molecule: long non-coding RNA, 240 nt
Organism: Zophobas morio
Lineage: Eukaryota; Metazoa; Arthropoda; Insecta; Coleoptera; Tenebrionidae
Exons: 3
Source: RefSeq, a predicted model, not a curated record